AUUGAACGCUGGCGGCAUGCCUUACACAUGCAAGUCGAACGGCAGCACGGGAGCAAUCCUGGUGGCGAGUGGCGGACGGGUGAGUAAAGUAUCGGAACGUGCCCAGUCGCGGGGGAUAACGUAGCGAAAGUUACGCUAAUACCGCAUACGAUCUAUGGAUGAAAGCGGGGGAUCGCAAGACCUCGCGCGAUUGGAGCGGCCGAUAUCAGUUUAGGUAGUUGGUGGGGUAAGGGCUAACCAAGCCGACGAUCUGUAGCUGGUCUGAGAGGACGACCAGCCACACUGGGACUGAGACACGGCCCAGACGCCUACGGGAGGCAGCAGUGGGGAAUUUUGGACAAUGGGCGCAAGCCUGAUCCAGCCAUGCCGCGUGCAGGAUGAAAGCCUUCGGGUUGUAAACUGCUUUUGUACGGAACGAAAAGGUUUGACUUAAUACGUUGGACUCAUGACGGUACCGUAAGAAUAAGCACCGGCUAACUACGUGCCAGCCGCCGCCGUAA
This 500-nucleotide ribosomal RNA is filed under the name uncultured bacterium. Its description in RNAcentral is "partial 16S ribosomal RNA". It matches the Rfam family "Bacterial small subunit ribosomal RNA", at positions 30 to 523 of the family's 1533-position model. The record is from RNAcentral.